CAAGCCGGAGGAAGGUGGGGAUGACGUCAAAUCAUCAUGCCCCUUAUGACCUGGGCUACACACGUGCUACAAUGGAUAGUACAAAGGGUCGCGAAGCCGCGAGGUGGAGCUAAUCCCAUAAAACUAUUCUCAGUUCGGAUUGUAGGCUGCAACUCGCCUACAUGAAGCCGGAAUCGCUAGUAAUCGUGGAUCAGCAUGCCACGGUGAAUACGUUCCCGGGCCUUGUACACACCGCCCGUCACACCACGAGAGUUUGUAACACCCGAAGUCGGUAGGGUAACCUUUAUGGAGCCAGCCGCCGAAGGUGGGACAGAUAAUUGGGGUGAAGUCGUAACAAGGUAGCCGUAUCGGAAGGUGCGGCUGGAUCACCUCCUUUCUAAGGAA
Molecule: ribosomal RNA, 384 nt
Filed under: Listeria monocytogenes
Lineage: Bacteria; Bacillati; Bacillota; Bacilli; Caryophanales; Listeriaceae
Description: bacterial SSU rRNA
Rfam family: Bacterial small subunit ribosomal RNA
Source: RNAcentral